GAUGAACGCUGGCGGCGUGCCUAAUACAUGCAAGUCGAGCGAACAGACGAGGAGCUUGCUCCUCUGACGUUAGCGGCGGACGGGUGAGUAACACGUGGAUAACCUACCUAUAAGACUGGGAUAACUUCGGGAAACCGGAGCUAAUACCGGAUAAUAUAUUGAACCGCAUGGUUCAAUAGUGAAAGACGGUUUUGCUGUCACUUAUAGAUGGAUCCGCGCCGCAUUAGCUAGUUGGUAAGGUAACGGCUUACCAAGGCGACGAUGCGUAGCCGACCUGAGAGGGUGAUCGGCCACGCUGGAACUGAGACACGGUCCAGACUCCUACGGGAGGCAGCAGUAGGGAAUCUUCCGCAAUGGGCGAAAGCCUGACGGAGCAACGCCGCGUGAGUGAUGAAGGUCUUCGGAUCGUAAAACUCUGUUAUUAGGGAAGAACAAAUGUGUAAGUAACUAUGCACGUCUUGACGGUACCUAAUCAGAAAGCCACGGCUAACUACGU
Molecule: ribosomal RNA, 496 nt
Filed under: uncultured bacterium
Lineage: Bacteria
Description: partial 16S ribosomal RNA
Rfam family: Bacterial small subunit ribosomal RNA
Source: RNAcentral